This 509-nucleotide ribosomal RNA is filed under the name uncultured bacterium. RNAcentral's name for it is "partial 16S ribosomal RNA". It matches the Rfam family "Bacterial small subunit ribosomal RNA", at positions 28 to 523 of the family's 1533-position model. The record is from RNAcentral.
GACGAACGCUGGCGGCGUGCCUAACACAUGCAAGUGGAGCGACGAACCAGGGCUUGCCCUGGGGCCAAGCCGCGAACGGGUGAGUAACACGUGGGUAACCUGCCCCGAUGACCGGGACAACUCGAGGAAACUCGGGCUAAUGCCGGAUGUACUCCUCGCACAUAUGUGCAAGGAGUAAAGGAAGCUUCGGCCUCCGCUUCGGGAGGGGCCCGCGGCCCAUUAGCUAGUUGGUGAGGUAACGGCUCACCAAGGCAACGAUGGGUAGCUGGUCUGAGAGGAAGAUCAGCCACACUGGGACUGAGACACGGCCCAGACUCCUACGGGAGGCAGCAGUGGGGAAUCUUGCGCAAUGCGCGAAAGCGUGACGCAGCAACGCCGCGUGGGGGAAGAAGGCCUUCGGGUUGUAAACCCCUUUCAGGAGGGACGAAGGUAGGGCAGUGAACAGCUGUCCCUACUGACGGUACCUCCAGAAGAAGCCCCGGCUAACUACGUGCCAGCCGCCGCUGUAA